UGCCUACCAGUUGCAAAGCUGGAAUCCUGCAAAAGGACCUUGAACAUUGGGCCUGGUUGAUCCCUCUGUGUUUUGUGUCAAGUUCAGCCUUUGUGGCUGCUUGUUUUCUGUUCUUUUCUUUUGUUGUUUGCUGCAUGAGUUGAGUCUGUUGGUCUGCUCUGAUCUAUGUUUGCUUACUCUGCUUGUUUUCUUUUACUCUGUGUGUUUGAAUCCUGCUUUGUUCUGUUGUAUUGUG
This 235-nucleotide long non-coding RNA is filed under the name Salvia miltiorrhiza (redroot sage). Its description in RNAcentral is "long non-coding RNA (SMIL_LNC012609)". The record is from RNAcentral. Lineage: Eukaryota; Viridiplantae; Streptophyta; Magnoliopsida; Lamiales; Lamiaceae.